Long non-coding RNA from Cryptomeria japonica (Japanese cedar), 512 nucleotides. RefSeq lists it as uncharacterized. The record is from RefSeq and is a predicted model, not a curated record. The transcript has 3 exons. NCBI's taxonomy places the organism in Eukaryota, Viridiplantae, Streptophyta, Pinopsida, Cupressales, Cupressaceae.
UAUCCACUUUGAUUGUACAACAUUCGACAUUGAUUCUAUUAUCGUUGAGCUACAUUUCACAAUUUUCUUCGGUAUCCUUCUGUUUUUUUAUUUGAUUUCACAAUCUUGCUUGUGCAGGUGUCUGGUUCAAACCACGGGCGUUGAUUGUUCUUGCAGAUCUUUGUGCACAUUUCCCUAGAGCUGAAGAUAUUUCAGGUAGAAGAAGACGAAACUGUGGAAGAAGGAAUCCAUGAAGGCAAGCAUUUUUCUCCUACGGAAAAAAACAUAUAAGAAAUUUGUGGGAGGGAUUGAAAUCUGAAAGUUCUAUCGUACGACUACGAGAGACUGGUAUGGCAAAGUUGUUUUGUUUCUUUCAACAACGAAGGCUUGGAGAUUCACACUGAACCACAAGGGAUAUGAUUUAGUUUAUUGCUAGAACAAGAGUAGAGUUUGUCUUUGUUGACAUAGAAAGGUUUUAAAUAAACUGUAUUGAUUUUUCUAUAGAUGUAUUUAAAGUUGAUCAGUAUUUUAUG